GAUGAACGCUGGCGGCGUGCCUAAUACAUGCAAGUCGAGCGAACGGACGAGAAGCUUGCUUCUCUGAUGUUAGCGGCGGACGGGUGAGUAACACGUGGAUAACCUACCUAUCAGACUGGGAUAACUUCGGGAAACCGUAGCUAAUACCGGAUGAUAUUUUGAACCGCAUUGUUCAAAAGUUAAAGACGGUCUUUCUUUCACUUAUAGAUUGAUCCGCGCUGCAUUAGCUAGUUGGUAAGGUAACGGCUUAACAAGGCAACGAUGCAUAGCCGACCUGAGAGGGUGAUCGGACACACUGGAACUGAGAAACGGUCCAGACUCCGACGGGAGGCAGCAGUAGGGAAUCUUACGCAAUGGGCGAAAGCCUGACGGAGCAACGCCGCGUGAGUGAUGAAGGUCUUAGGAUCGUAAAACUCUGUUAUUAGGGAAGAACAUAUGUGUAAGUAACUGUGCACAUCUUGACGGUACCGAAUCAGAAAGCCACGGCUAACUACGUG
This 497-nucleotide ribosomal RNA is filed under the name uncultured bacterium. Its description in RNAcentral is "partial 16S ribosomal RNA". It matches the Rfam family "Bacterial small subunit ribosomal RNA", at positions 28 to 507 of the family's 1533-position model. The record is from RNAcentral.